This 487-nucleotide ribosomal RNA is filed under the name uncultured bacterium. RNAcentral's name for it is "bacterial SSU rRNA". It matches the Rfam family "Bacterial small subunit ribosomal RNA", at positions 28 to 507 of the family's 1533-position model. The record is from RNAcentral.
GAUGAACGCUAGCGGCAGGCCUAACACAUGCAAGUCGAGGGGUAACAUAGGAAAGCUUGCUUUUCUGAUGACGACCGGCGCACGGGUGCGUAACGCGUAUACAACCUACCUUUUAGCGGGGAAUAGCCCAGGGAAACUUGGAUUAAUGCCCCAUAGUAUAUAGACUUCUCCUGAAGUUUAUAUUAAACAUUUAUGGCUAUUAGAUGGGUAUGCGUCCUAUUAGUUAGUUGGUAAGGUAACGGCUUACCAAGGCAGCGAUAGGUAGGGGUCCUGAGAGGGAGAUCCCCACACUGGUACUGAGACACGGACCAGACUCCUACGGGAGGCAGCAGUGAGGAAUAUUGGACAAUGGGCGAGAGCCUGAUCCAGCCAUGCCGCGUGCAGGAAGACUGCCCUAUGGGUCGUAAACUGCUUUUACAGAGGAAGAACCACCCCCACGUGUGGGGGUUUGACGGUACUCUGCGAAUAAGGAUCGGCUAACUCCGUG